Molecule: transfer RNA, 84 nt
Filed under: Candidatus Azambacteria bacterium
Lineage: Bacteria; Candidatus Azamiibacteriota
Description: tRNA-Tyr
Rfam family: tRNA
About the family: Transfer RNA (tRNA) molecules are approximately 80 nucleotides in length.
Source: RNAcentral
GCCGGGGUGGCGGAGUGGACAAUCGCACCUGACUGUAAAUCAGGCGGCCUCAGGCCUUCGGGGGUUCGAAUCCCUCCCCCGGCA